Molecule: long non-coding RNA, 384 nt
Organism: Uranotaenia lowii
Lineage: Eukaryota; Metazoa; Arthropoda; Insecta; Diptera; Culicidae
Exons: 2
Source: RefSeq, a predicted model, not a curated record
UAAAACUGGCAACACUAGCAUCAAUGUUGAUCUCAAUUUUGCUAUAAAAUAGUUCAGCGAAGCCCAAUUUGCAUCAGAAUAUUUUUGCAGCUUGAAGGAUCACUAUUAGCGAAACCAGUUGAAUCUAACAUGACGGACCCCAAGGGAAAAUCAGACGCCAGGGGCGAGACGAUCCGUUCGGCGAUAAAAAAUGCCGGCAAUCCUAAGAAUGAUGCCACCAGAGCUGCGGUAAUCCGUCAAGCCGUAGCAGAGCAUAAUGCGUCCAAGAAAAAAUAGGAUGUGCCUGAUGUGCUUGAUUUGAAGUGUUCCAAUCAAAAUCACAUCAAAGAAAAUGAACAACCUCGGUUACAUUUUGUAAUAAAAAUUAAUCAGUUUAGAAAAGAA